This 405-nucleotide ribosomal RNA is filed under the name uncultured bacterium. RNAcentral describes it as "partial 16S ribosomal RNA". It matches the Rfam family "Bacterial small subunit ribosomal RNA", at positions 29 to 525 of the family's 1533-position model. The record is from RNAcentral.
AUUGCACGCUGGCGGCAGGCCUAACACAUGCAAGUCGAACGAGUGGCGGACGGGUGAGUAAUGUCUGGGAAACUGCCUGAUGGAGGGGGAUAACUACUGGAAACGGUAGCUAAUACCGCAUACCAUCAGAUGUGCCCAGAUGGGAUUAGCUAGUUGGUGGGGUAACGGCUCACCAAGGCUACGAUCCCUAGCUGGUCUGAGAGGAUGACCAGCAAAACUGGAACUGAGACAGGGGCCAGACUCCAACGGGAGGCAGCAGGGGGGAAUAUUGCACAAGGGGCGAAAGCCUGAUGCAGCCAGGCCGGGUGUAUGAAGAAGGCCUGCGGGUUGUAAAGUACUUGCAGCGGGGAGGCGUUACCCGCAGAAGAAGCACCGGCUAACUCCGUGCCAGCAGCCGCGGUAUUC